CUGGAGCCGGUGAGUGCUGGGCGCUGGGAAGAGACAGCGCCGCCGGCCGUGGGGGAAGGACGCACAGAUUUGCUCCCCUACCCUCAGCACCCCACACACACACACCCAGCACCAGGUACCCGUACCUCCCACAUCCUCACCUGGCUGAGCCGCAGUAGUUCUUCAGUGGCAAGCUUUAUGUCCUGACCCAGCUAAAGCUGCCAGUUGAAGAACUGUUGCCCUCUGCCCCUGGCUUCGAGGAGGAGGAAGAGGAAGAGAAGGAGCUGCUUUCCCCUUCAUCUGGAAGUGUCUCUGUCUAGCCCUGGGUAUGUGGCUUUGUGAUCCUCACCCAUCAUGGAGCAGCGAUGAGCAAGUGCAGCUUGGGAACACAGAGGCCUGGAGAGGACAGGGACCUGUUUGGGCAUCUUGCAGAGGGUGCCCAUAUAGACGAGAAGUACACCAGGAGAAAGAACAGCCAGCCCCCAUCAUGGACAAGCUUCCAGUCCUGUACUUCAUUCACCAUUUUCCUGCAAUCUUUCUGCUUCCCUCAGAGAUGUGGGACCAUAUUAUAGUGUCUGGCUUGUGGCUCUAUACUCCUACUUCCACUUCUCGAUCACCCUCUAAUUUUUGUAUAAGCAGUCUCCAUGAGGAAGAGCCAGCUGUAAAAGGACAUACAAAGGAAAUUCUUAAAAUAAAUUCAAGGAUAAAUUCAUGAAAAAAAAAAUGUGUGUGUUUCAUUAGUAAUUAAAGAAAAGCAAAUAAUGCUGAAUGCAUUUUUUCCCAUAGCAAACUAUAACAGAAGAAAUAAGACUCAAGUUAUUGGCAAAGGAGUACUAAAAUAACACUCCCAUAUAAUGCAUAUGGGGAUACAAAUUGGUGAGACUCCCUGGAUAUCAGUCUGGUAAUAUAAACCAAACACCCUGAAUUUUUCAGUGGCCUUUGACCAAGUGAUUCUACAUUGGGGAAUUUAUCUAAAGAAAAUAAAGAUUCAGUUAUAAGAUGUUCAUCCUGCCAUUGCAAUAGAGAAAAAUGGAAAGCAACUGUCAGACUGGGAAUUCAUUUCUUUUCUCCUGUAAUGAAAAUUCACAGUAGGGGAUUGCCUAAGUAAAUUAUUGUAUAUCCAUCCAGAUGGUGGAGUACUGUGCAGCCAUUAAAAGUCAUGUAAAAGAACAUUUAACUGGGAAGAAAAAUGCUCUUUGAAUAUUAAAAAGGCUAUAAAAAUAGUGUAUAUUAUGUGAUCUCAUUUUUUAAAAAUACUUGUAUACAUAAAACAAACUGAAGACAUACUUCAAAAUGUUAAUAAUAGUGGUUAU
Long non-coding RNA from Talpa occidentalis (Iberian mole), 1292 nucleotides. RefSeq lists it as uncharacterized. The record is from RefSeq and is a predicted model, not a curated record. Lineage: Eukaryota; Metazoa; Chordata; Mammalia; Eulipotyphla; Talpidae. The transcript is spliced from 3 exons.